RNAcentral lists this ribosomal RNA (492 nucleotides) under uncultured bacterium. Its description in RNAcentral is "partial 16S ribosomal RNA". It matches the Rfam family "Bacterial small subunit ribosomal RNA", at positions 29 to 507 of the family's 1533-position model. The record is from RNAcentral.
AGUGAACGCUGGCGGUAGGCCUAACACAUGCAAGUCGAACGGCAGCACAGUAAGAGCUUGCUCUUACGGGUGGCGAGUGGCGGACGGGUGAGGAAUACAUCGGAAUCUACUUUUUCGUGGGGGAUAACGUAGGGAAACUUACGCUAAUACCGCAUACGACCUACGGGUGAAAGCAGGGGAUCUUCGGACCUUGCGCGAUUGAAUGAGCCGAUGUCGGAUUAGCUAGUUGGCGGGGUAAAGGCCCACCAAGGCGACGAUCCGUAGCUGGUCUGAGAGGAUGAUCAGCCACACUGGAACUGAGACAAGGUCCAGAAUCCUACGGGAGGCAGCAGUGGGGAAUAUUGGACAAUGGGCGGAAGCCUGAUCCAGCCAUACCGCGUGGGUGAAGAAGGCCUUCGGGUUGUAAAGCCCUUUUGUUGGGAAAGAAAAGCAGCAGGUUAAUACCCCGCUGUUCUGACGGUACCCAAAGAAUAAGCACCGGCUAACUUCGUG